CCUGCCUUCCUCACCUGGACAGAGACCAAGGCAUUGAGAUGGGGCUGUUUUCUAAAAGAUCACUCAGCUUUCAGAUGCAAGCAGGAAUCUGUUUUUUAUCUCUACAGAGAACUUCUGACAUGAAAAAGUCUGAUUUUUCAAGUAGAGCCUAUUGAAUCAGUGACUAUUGGUGACAACUAAAAAUGAGUGAUGAGCCUGGACUACAUGAAGAUCAGGGACGUGGCUUAGAGAGGCAGAAUGGUGUUGGCACAGUCCUUUCUAUCCGGAAAUUCCUGAGAGGCUGCAUUUCCCAAGGGAUGCGAGGUGAAAAUUGGAAGUGCCAGAGCCAGGCUCCCAUGCAGCACUCUCAGAGCCCAGUGUGUGCUCUUGUGUCAGCCACUGCACUACAGUAGGAGAAUCUCCAGUUCUGAAGAGUUUCAGCUUUAGGAGAAUGGUAACAGAACGAAGGACAUUGGGGACUGUGCAAUUUCAACCCUCUUAUUUCAACCCUCUCAAACUGCAAGAAAAAUUCUAUCCCAAAAAACGAACUAAGCAGCAUACCAGGACACAGCCAGGUAAUCCAGCCAAACUGCAAUAAUGCAAAGUGCCUCUACUUCGUCAUUUCAUAUUUUAUUCCCCCAUUAAAAAAAAAAAAAAAAAAAAAAAAACCAAAACGCUUUCUUAAGAGAUUUCACUUGUAAAGAACAAAAUAAUCAUGUUGUUAUUAUAUACUCCAAGUCCUUCAGCAAAGAAAAGCACCGGCAUUGAUGAACAAUCAGGACUUCACCUGAAAAUGCAGCCAGACUUCCUCUUCAGAGGAUGAGUAACAGGGCUGGGGGUGCCCAUGGGGUGCACAUGUAGGUGUAACUCCUGGUCAGAGCAGGAUGGAUCUCGUUUGCACAGAAAAAUUAGAUGUGCUUUUUGAGUGCUCCAGGUGUUGUACCACACAGGCACUGAACUGUUCGGCUUUAAAAAUGCCCUGGAGUGAAUUUAUGCCCAUAAUCAACUCGAGCAUCUCUGUUGCUAUCAUGAAUCAUUAAAAACCUCAUUUGCAACCCCAAAAGCAAAACUGUUCUCAAAAUUAAGUAGAGCUCCCCAGCUCCAUACUUAAAUGAGAUAAAAGCAGCAGGACUCUGGGUGAUGGAUGGCUCCCUUUUAUCAUCACCAGGAGUGACUGUUUGCUUAGGAGAGGGUCUUUGAUCUUACCUCCCGUUUUUAAAUGUGGCAGAAAUAAGCAAUCUCCCAAAGAAGACUGAUUUCAUGGAGACUUCCUGGCUCACAGCACAGCCUCGCAUGUUCCAUUUAAUAUUAUGUUACUACAUUUUCAAACUGUUCAGAGGUUACUUCAGUGCAAUUAAACUAAUUCCAGAAUUGAAACACAGCAGUUUGAGGGCUGCUAGUUGUGAGGUGCAGAGAGGGCAUUUCUAAAGCAUUUACCAAUUUUCUCCUGUGU
Molecule: long non-coding RNA, 1432 nt
Filed under: Catharus ustulatus (Swainson's thrush)
Lineage: Eukaryota; Metazoa; Chordata; Aves; Passeriformes; Turdidae
Description: lncRNA (ENSCUSG00005010178.1)
Source: RNAcentral